Cavia porcellus (domestic guinea pig) is the source of this 291-nucleotide regulatory RNA element. It matches the Rfam family "Mason-Pfizer monkey virus packaging signal". From Rfam's summary of the family: The packaging signal is located in the 5' UTR and is required for specific RNA encapsidation. NCBI's taxonomy places the organism in Eukaryota, Metazoa, Chordata, Mammalia, Rodentia, Caviidae. The record is from Rfam.
UGGCGCCCCAAUGUGGGACUCGAGAACGGGGGAGUUCGUGAGGGAUGCUGUGAGGGAUGCUGUUCGUGGGUCCAAAGUAGAAAAAAGGAAAAGAAAACAGAGGGCCUGACGACAUGGGAGCCUGCCAUGCCACGCUGAACCUCGGUGAGUGAACAGCGAUUAUGGGACAAGAAAUUAUCCAGCAUGAGAUUUUUGUUGAAAAUUUAGUAAAAGCUUUAAAGGCGCAAGGAGUAAAGGUUAAAAUUAAGCAAUUAUGUCAAUAUUUUAAUUUUAUAAAAGAGGUUUGCCCUU